This 103-nucleotide microRNA precursor is filed under the name Nicotiana tabacum (common tobacco). Its description in RNAcentral is "miR6163 stem-loop (nta-MIR6163)". The record is from miRBase by way of RNAcentral. Lineage: Eukaryota; Viridiplantae; Streptophyta; Magnoliopsida; Solanales; Solanaceae.
UGAGUCAAAUGAUUUAUGGCAUGUACGUUUGGAUCAUGUCAAUUAUAAAACCUUGUGAAAAAUGAUUAACUUGGAAGUACUGCCUAAGUUUGAAUGCGCAAAA